CCUGCAGCACAGCACUUGGUCACCCCUAUGCCCAGCGGGUAGUCCCGGGAGUCUCAGAAGGGAGAAUUUGAUCACCCUUCCUAGGGUUGGAUGGACCUAUGGAGGUUGGCAAGUGGGGAGCUCCAAAAGCCGCACGUCCCCGAGUGCGUCCCUGCACAGUCGAGCGCUUCUCAGUAGCAGCAGCCAGAGUGAGGAUGUAGGCGGCUUGAGUCCGCCAGAGUCUGAACAAAGGGAGCCGUGGCCCAGAGGAUGCUGAGCUCCUCACGCUCCACCCAGCUGCCUGGCGCGCAGGUAGCCCUGCUUUUGCUCUGCCGAGGGCUGUGUGUUCGAGGCCAGCACACAAAGACUCACUUCCUCCGGUCCAGCUUCCCAGACCGCCCUGUCCCACUGGCGGCCGGUAGCAUUCCAGAGGCCACCACUGGGACCCUCCUGUGCUUGGGUGCCAGGUAUUUGGGAGCAGAGGCGGUUCAGGGAGCCCUUGGAGCCGCUCAGCUGGUGAAGGCGGCGGCUGGGAUUAGCUCGCCUUUUUAGGCAGCCGCGCCGCCCCACGCAGCAGAGUCUGCAAUCGCUCUACGAGAGGCAGGCUCUGCGUCGCUAAAGCGUCCCCGCCUGCGCUGGCCGCGGGGCAAGCUACGGGCCCGGGCGCGCGAGGGAGGCCGAUCAACUCUCCAGUGCCUAGCGGCUAGGUUUUGAAACCCCAAGGUGAAGUGCUGGCCCCAAAGAUCUGCAAUGAAACCACACUUGAAGCAAUGGCGACAACGAAUGCUCUUUGCAAUAUUUGUUUGGGGGCUCCUCUUUUUGGCAAUUUUCAUCUAUUUCACCAACAGCAAUCCUGCUGCACCUAUGCCCAGCUCCUUUUCCUUCCUGGAGAGCCGCGGGCUCCUGCCUGUGCAGGGCAAGCAGAGGGUCAUCAUGGGUGCAUUGCAGGAGUCCUCCUUGCCCAGAAGUUUGGAGGCAAGCAAAGUACUGAUGGACGGCCACCCUGCGAGCCCUUUCAACAGCUGGCCUGGGGACCCACAGAAAGGGGACCAGGCCCAAGAUGGCUUUGACAAUGGGGAUGAGUUUUUUACAUCCCAGGUCGGGAGGAAAUCACAAAGUGCUUUCUAUCCUGAGGAAGACAACUACUUUUUUGUUGCGGGUCAGCCUGGGUUGUACCACCACCGGCAGGGUGCCCUGGGGCUGCCAUCUCCGGGGGAGUCCUCAUGGCAGUCAGGACCUGGUCAGCCCAAGCAGGAGAAGCUGCGUCACCCAAGGAGAGGCAGUUUGCCUGAGGAAGCCUAUGAUAGUGACAUGCUGUCGACCUCCAUGUCCAGAGCCUUCCUGUACCGGCUCUGGAAGGGAACCGUGUCCUCUAAGAUGUUGAACCCGCGCCUGCAGAAGGCCAUGCGCUACUACAUGUCCUUUAACAAGCAUGGUGUGCGCUUCAGCAGGCGGGGGCGGCGUGAGGCACGACGUACAGGGCCAGAGCUGCUGUGCGAGAUGCGCAGGCGUGUGCGUGUGCGCACGUUGGACGGCAAAGAGGCGCCCUUCUCAGGGCUGGGCUGGCGGCCUCUGGUACCUGGGGUCCCUCUGAGCCAGUUGCACCCACGCGGUUUGCGCAGCUGCGCAGUUGUAAUGUCUGCCGGAGCCAUCCUGAACUCCUCCUUGGGGGAGGAAAUCGAUUCUCAUGAUGCAGUUUUGAGAUUUAACUCUGCCCCUACACGUGGCUAUGAGAAAGAUGUCGGAAAUAAAACCACAGUACGCAUCAUUAAUUCUCAGAUUCUGGCCAACCCCAGCCAUCACUUCAUUGACAGUUCUUUAUAUAAAGAUGUUAUUCUGGUAGCCUGGGAUCCAGCUCCUUAUUCUGCCAAUCUUAACCUGUGGUAUAAGAAGCCAGAUUACAACCUUUUCACUCCAUAUAUCCAGCAUCGCCUGAAAUACCCAACUCAGCCAUUUUACAUUCUUCACCCCAAAUUCAUAUGGCAGCUUUGGGACAUUAUCCAGGAAAACACAAGGGAGAAGAUACAGCCCAACCCACCAUCUUCUGGUUUUAUUGGAAUCCUCGUCAUGAUGUCCAUGUGCCAAGAGGUGCACGUGUAUGAGUACAUUCCAUCUGUCCGACAGACAGAACUUUGCCACUACCAUGAGCUGUACUAUGACGCCGCCUGCACCUUGGGAGCCUACCACCCAUUGCUUUAUGAAAAGCUACUGGUGCAGCGCCUUAACACAGGCACCCAGGCAGAUUUGCACCACAAGGGAAAGGUGGUCCUGCCAGGCUUCCAGACUCUGCGGUGCCCAGUAACCAGGCCUAACAAUACAAACACUUAAAAUGGAACUCUUGGGAACUGAUGUGCAAUAAGCAAUGAUAGCUUCACAUUGUAGGAGCUGGGAAACAAGAAGGCCAGAAGCCACCAGAAGGGUUCUUUAAACAAGUCUCAGGAAUCUUCUUUUGCAACUAGAAAAGGAAACAAAACAAUGGAGCAAACAACAACAACAAUACCACAGGUCAAUAUGUUCCCAAAAUAUCUUCUUUGUUCCCUUACGUUUUACACCUACUUCCAAGAGAUCUGUUACUAACUGCUUCCAAUGAAGGAGUUAAGAAUAUUUCAGCGAUUCUUGUCAAAAUCUGUACUAACACCCCAGGGAAAGUAUAACCCAAAACAAGUGGUGUACCAGCAUGCUGUUAUUUGCUUUGCAGUCUCUUUGUGCUUCCCUACUCUAUCAGAACUGUUGAUUGCUUCAAAGCAAACUGUCAUGGACAAAACAGAAAACAGUGAUAGGCUCUUUCUCACACUGGUGCUGUUUGUUGGGUAUCCUAACUGCUGAGAGGCACUGGCACAAUAGACUUCAAGUCACUGGGCCAGGAGAUUUAAAGGCACUUGCACAGCAGAUUUAAACUGGUCUCAUUCACACUUCUAGCAGGUAGUGCAACCUGCUGAAUGGCUUCUCUCACUUCACUGUGGGGCUGUCUAGAUGUCUAUGAGGUGGGAAGCUUCCUCAUAAGGGAUGUCUAGACAGUGUUAUGAGCAGACAAAAACUGAACUCCAGACCUCACAUCUUACACAUUCAAAGUGAGGGAGGGAAAAAAAUGGUACCUCACAGGUGGGUGAGGACAAAAUGAUACUUGCCAAAGGACAUGCAUCAAGAAAGGGAAUAAUGUGGCAAUUGAACUGUUGACUCGUGGCUCUCACUUAUGCUACUACAAGGCUGUAUACAUACCUAAACCACUGUGUUUUCCCAUAAAAUUGCCAUAACAGAAAGUCAUUAGAACUUUCUGUUUUCUGGUGCUAUGAUACAGUGCCACAAAUAAAUAAAGGUAUUUAUUUCCAGAGUUGCAGAGGCUGAACAAUUUAAGCUUAACAUACUAGUAUUUGACAAGGCCUUCUAAUGAUAUCGUAAUGUGAAAGAAUGCAAUAUUUAGUGAGUGAGCAGGCAAGAGAGGAGUGAAGUCAACAAGAACUCACUUUUAUAGCAGGUAUAUAACUCCUGUGAAAAUGGUAUGUAUCUAUUCAGGAAUAUAGAAUAGUCAUCUCUGAAAGAACCCACAUGAGCUAAAUUUCAACACGAGAUUUGGAGAGGUACUCCAAACAGCAGCUUACUGCUGUGGAGAUGGAAAGUCAUACUCUGCUUUUGGGAGUCAAUCCAAAGAAAGAGUGAGGUCCAAACUCCAAAAGUCUUGUCCUAAGGCUAGCAGGAGUAGGACUGCUUUUUUCCCUUGCUCUAGGCCUAAUUAAGUCUUACAACUCACACCUCUGCAGUCCUUGAAGUAGACAUAUAGCCUGGUGGUCAAACUACGGGUUAAGCUUCCUCUGUCCCUAUGAGGACAAGUCUAGCAAUGACCUGGAACUUCUUUUCAUGCAAAUAAAGCUUUCCCAACUCCUCUUCACAAGGUUAUAAUGUAUACUCACCUCCCAGCAAACUUCUACCUACUCCCUAAAGUUUAUAUAACUCUCUUUACCCCAUGUACAGACGAGCUGUUUUGUUGAAAACUUUCUCAGAGAAGGCUAUUUCUCUCGCACUCAUGCAACCCUGUGGAACCCAGCCACCUGGAUGAGCUCUGUUUCUUCCAUAUCGGCCCAGUGUGCAAUACUAGCUGUGUACAUCAAGCACAGAAGCAGAACUGACAUAGAAAAGGCACAGAACCCUCAUAGAAGGAAAGGGAGAUAGUGGGUUUCUGGAGGGGAAACCUAGAAAGGGGAUAACAUUUGUACUGUAAAUUAAAAAAAUAAAAAAAUCCUAAUGAAUAAAGUCUAGGCAUAUCAACCUUUUCCCAAAACACCUAGCCAUUUAGACAUUAACUAUGUGUUUGAAAGAAGGAGAGCACCUUCAUUUGAUAAUUUAUUCUUUCUACCUUACAAGGCAUCCUUCUUACUACCUUCUAAACCAUAAUUAAUAGAAUUUCUGAAUACAUGAAAGAAUGGGAUAUGUAGUUGGAAGAUAGCUCAGUGAGUAUGAGCAUACACCGUUUCAUCCAGAGUUUAAUUCCCAAUACUCAUCUCAUGGGGCUCACAAUCACUUCUAUUUCCACAGGAAACCGACAACUUACUUACUUGACCAUUCCCACACAUAUGCAUAAUUUAAAAUAAUAAAAAGGAACUUUUAGAGUAAUUAUGUAAUGUGCACUAUAAAAAUACAGGGACAAAGAAUGGAGCAGAGACUGAAGAAAAGAUCAUCCAGAGACUGCCCUACCUCCGGAUCCAUCCCACAUACAGUCACCAAACCCAGACACUACUGUGGAUGCGAAGAGGAGCUGGCCGACAGGAGCCUAUUAUAACCAUUUCCUGAGAGGCUUUUCCAGAGCCUCACAACCAUUAGACUGAGCACGGGAUCCCCAGUAGAGGAGUUAGAGAAAGGACUGA
Molecule: RNA transcript, 4838 nt
Organism: Rattus rattus (black rat)
Lineage: Eukaryota; Metazoa; Chordata; Mammalia; Rodentia; Muridae
Gene: St6gal2
Gene name: ST6 beta-galactoside alpha-2,6-sialyltransferase 2
Exons: 8
Source: RefSeq, a predicted model, not a curated record